GGAAUAUUGGGCAAUGGGCGCAAGCCUGACCCAGCCACGCCGCGUGAGUGAUGAAGGCCUUCGGGUCGUAAAGCUCUGUGGGGAGAGACGAAAGCCCCUUGGCUAAUAUCCAAGGGUUUGACUGUACCUCCUUAGCAAGCACCGGCUAACCACGUGCCAGCAGCCGCGGUAAUACGUGGGGUGCAAACGUUGCUCGGAAUCAUUGGGCGUAAAGCGCACGUAGGCGGCGCAGCAAGUUGGAUGUGAAAGCCCUCGGCUUAACCGAGGAAGUGCAUUCAAAACUACUGGGCUUGAGUACAAAAGAGGAUCGCGGAAUUCCCGGUGUAGAGGUGAAAUUCGUAGAUAUCGGGAGGAACACCAGCGGCGAAGGCGGCGAUCUGGGUUGAUACUGACGCUGAUGUGCGAAAGCGUGGGGAGCAAAC
Molecule: ribosomal RNA, 422 nt
Filed under: uncultured bacterium
Lineage: Bacteria
Description: bacterial SSU rRNA
Rfam family: Bacterial small subunit ribosomal RNA
Source: RNAcentral